CCGAUAUCAAUAAAAUGUUUGCCUUCUAAAUUUCUCUUGUUCUUCUCUUUGAAAGGCAUGGAAAGGCUGAUCCUAAGUUAGUAUAGGGCUAGGAAAUAUUGGGAAAGUUGAGCUUGCUAUGAGUACAAUAGUUUUCCGAAGCUUUGACAGUAUGUCUGUAGUAGUGCGAAAGUUUUUCCGAGUUGAGUAGCUUGGCUAGGAAGCCAGCCCAUUUUGUAGGAAAAACUUUCAUAUCUACGAUCUUUCAAACCGUCCGACUAACUUGACAAGCCAUCCUUCGGGUUGUUGAAGUCAGGUUUGUGGCAAGUCGUCCUUCGGGAUGUUGAAGCCCAGUCCUACUAUGGAAGAAAACUAUUGUGCUUGUAGUUUGGCUGUCUUACUUGGUGUUUCCCCGCCCUCUACAUACCCAGAAUUUGUCUAAUUAUGAUUUAGAAUCUGAUCUUAUCAAAAUCAUAUCAGAAUUUUAUUCAAUCUUAAUAGAAUUAGAUUUGUCAACACAUACCAUCUGCAAGCCUAGGUAAACUUUACUGCUCGUUUUUCUCCUCAACAAACUCCUUGGAUCAUGGAUAGUGGAGCCACUCAUCAUAUUGCCUAUGCUGCGCAAAGCCUAGCCAUUGUACAUGACUUCCAUGACAUUGAAGAGAUAAUUAUGGGCAAUGGUAACACCAUCCAAUAUCCCAUACGGAUCUGAGUACGGUGGCGUAUCUAGUUCGCGGGUAGAAUAAAGAUGGGUUGUAUGAGUGGCCACAGGGUUGAACAGAUUGUUCUCCUCAAUACAGUGUGGUUGUUCCUAUUUACCUGUGGCAUCAGCAUUUAGGCCAUCCUAAUCAUCGCGUUUUAAAUACUAUCUUGAAUAACUUUUCCUUUCCUAUUUCAGAUCCUAAACCUAGUUCCAUUUGUAAUUCCUGUUAUUCAAGUAAAAUGCACAGGUUGACUUUUUCAGAAA
Lycium barbarum (goji berry) is the source of this 946-nucleotide long non-coding RNA. RefSeq lists it as uncharacterized. The record is from RefSeq and is a predicted model, not a curated record. The transcript has 2 exons. NCBI's taxonomy places the organism in Eukaryota, Viridiplantae, Streptophyta, Magnoliopsida, Solanales, Solanaceae.